Molecule: ribosomal RNA, 199 nt
Filed under: uncultured bacterium
Lineage: Bacteria
Description: partial 16S ribosomal RNA
Rfam family: Bacterial small subunit ribosomal RNA
Source: RNAcentral
ACGCUCGACACCUACGGGAGGCAGCAGUCGGGAAUAUUGCGCAAUGGAGGAAACUCUGACGCAGUGACGCCGCGUGCAGGAAGAAGGUUUUCGGAUUGUAAACUGCUUUAGACAGGGAAGAAAAAGGACAGUACCUGUAGAAUAAGCUCCGGCUAACUACGUGCCAGAAGCCGCGGUAAUCUGAGCGGGCUGGCAAGGC